UAGGCAUGAGCUCCCUGGCGCAGUCGAGCGUGGAUCAGUGGAAGAAGUGGAGAGGGAGGAGCAGUGGGUUCAGAUGGUUCCAGUUCAGAGUGUGUUCGAAGCUUCACCACCAUUACCCUCACCACCUCAAUCGUCACAGCGCCAUGUGUUGUGUGUGGGGAGUCGGGGAUCCAGCUUUCAAGGUACAAUGGUACAUGACCCUAGCAUUGCUGCUGCCGCCGCCGCCUUCAUCCCUUCUAAACUUGUCAGUGUGACCGGCGGUCCUCCAUUACUUCUCGGCGUGGAUUGGCUGCUUUCUGAACUGUGAAUCGUGAGACUCGAUCAGUGGCAUCUGCUGGUGUGGUAAGCUCAGGAUCAGAAAGAAGAGAAUGCUGUUCAAGAAAGCCCCAGUGCAUGUAAUUGGAGACAGCAUGGUGAGGAAGACCCCAGACUUUGUGAGAAGGAAACUGGAGUGUACCUACAAAUUCUUGGAAGUGAAGGAAAUGGAGGACAAGUUUUACGGGAGAGACGGAGUCUACUUCAACUAUGUUGAGAAUGAAAAGCUAGGACGAUGACUGGCUGCUGAGUGGAUGAGGGCGAGGCAUGAUGACCCUCGGACGACGGCAGACAGGGAAGAGAAGCAACCAGGCGACCUUCUACAGUCUGUCAAGUUACUGUCAAAGGCCUGGUUUCAGGAAUGAAGCCACCUGUAGCUACAUCAAGAUCAUCUCCUGAUGUGGUAAUUCAGAGUUUAAGGCAGUGGUAAUUCAGUUUAAGGCAGUAAUAAUGGGACUGCUACUGUGUGGCAGCUGUAUAUAAUUAUACACCACCUUACUACUGUCUAAUCUGAAUUUUAGAUGCUACUGGAAGGUGUACUGUACUGUCUACAACCUGAAUUUUGGGUGCAACAGGAAGGUGUAAUAUAACAAGAAAAAUUAAGAAAAUUAUUAAAAAGAAAAAAUAAACUGC
This is an RNA transcript of Scylla paramamosain (green mud crab), 948 nucleotides long. RefSeq lists it as uncharacterized. The transcript has 4 exons. NCBI's taxonomy places the organism in Eukaryota, Metazoa, Arthropoda, Malacostraca, Decapoda, Portunidae. The record is from RefSeq and is a predicted model, not a curated record.